This 282-nucleotide ribosomal RNA is filed under the name Hypophyllonomus longipes. Its description in RNAcentral is "partial 16S ribosomal RNA". Lineage: Eukaryota; Metazoa; Arthropoda; Arachnida; Opiliones; Gonyleptidae. The record is from RNAcentral.
GCAUAAUCAAUAGUUUUUUUAUUGAGGACUGGGAUGAAAGGUUAAAAACUGAGGGGAUAGUUUUUUUAAAUGAAUUCGAAUUUAAAUUAAGAAUAAAAAUGUUUUUAUUAAUCUUUGGGACGAGAAGACCCUAGAAGCUUAAAAUAUAAGUUAUUUUUGGUUGGGGCAAUUAUAUGAAGAUAUAGAUUUUUGUAAUAAAAAGUUACUCUAGGGAUAACAGCAUUAUUUAAUUGGUAAGUUCUUAUUAAUAAUUAAGUUUGUGACCUCGAUGUUGAAUUAAUU